UACGAAGGGGGCUAGCGUUGCUCGGAAUCACUGGGCGUAAAGCGCACGUAGGCGGCUUGUUAAGUCAGGGGUGAAAUCCCGGAGCUCAACUCCGGAACUGCCUUUGAUACUGGCAAGCUUGAGUUCGGGAGAGGUGAGUGGAACUGCGAGUGUAGAGGUGAAAUUCGUAGAUAUUCGCAAGAACACCAGUGGCGAAGGCGGCUCACUGGCCCGGAACUGACGCUGAGGUGCGAAAGCGUGGGGAUCAAAC
RNAcentral lists this ribosomal RNA (250 nucleotides) under uncultured bacterium. RNAcentral describes it as "partial 16S ribosomal RNA". It matches the Rfam family "Bacterial small subunit ribosomal RNA", at positions 524 to 773 of the family's 1533-position model. The record is from RNAcentral.